RNAcentral lists this ribosomal RNA (468 nucleotides) under uncultured bacterium. RNAcentral describes it as "partial 16S ribosomal RNA". It matches the Rfam family "Bacterial small subunit ribosomal RNA", at positions 28 to 507 of the family's 1533-position model. The record is from RNAcentral.
GACGAACGCUGGCGGCGUGCUUAACACAUGCAAGUCGAACGAAAAGACCCUGCUCUUGUUGCUUUCUCGAUUGGCGCACGGGUGUGUAUCACGUGAGUAUCCUGUCCUUGUCUUUCGGGUAACUUCUCGAAACUCGGGCUCAUACCGGAUAUGAUCUCUUGCUGCAUGUUGGUGGUUGGAAAGUUUCGGCGGUUCGGUCUGUUCUCGCGGCUUAUCGGCUUCUUGGUGGGGUAGUGGCUUACCAAGGCUUUGACGGGUAGCCGACCUGGGAGGGUGACCGGCGACAAGGGGACUGAGAGACGGACCAGACGCGAACGGGAGGCAGCAGGGGGGAAUAUUGCAGAGUGGGCGGAAGCCAGAGGCAGCAACGCCGCGAGCGGAAAGACGGCCUUCGAGUUGUAAACCGAUUUCGAAGGAGACGAAGAGUGAGUGACGGUAAUGGGUAAAGAAGCACCGGCUAACUACGUG